This is a long non-coding RNA of Zophobas morio, 1064 nucleotides long. RefSeq lists it as uncharacterized. NCBI's taxonomy places the organism in Eukaryota, Metazoa, Arthropoda, Insecta, Coleoptera, Tenebrionidae. The transcript is spliced from 2 exons. The record is from RefSeq and is a predicted model, not a curated record.
GUCAUUAUAAAAUAUUGUAGCCGAAGAAGGCCAUGAUUUUGGUGACAUUUUGUGCCGCCUUUUUCAGUUUUGUGGAAAGGAUUACACUAAUAUUGGAAUUUUUAUUUUUAGCGCCACAUUAGUUGACAUUAGCGGCUGCACUGUUUCAACGCUUCAUCAAAUUCUGUCAGAUGUCAAUAAUUUUUUCGUUUGUACUGGUACGUUUUCCCUCACUUUGUGCGUUAAUUGACUUGUCUUGUUUUCAUUUUUGCUGUCUUCCCCUUUGUUAGAACUUUAAUAAGUGUCUCAAAAAACAGUUUUUAUCAAAACUACAGAUCAUUGUGGAAUAAUCUCAGUUCUUUGGCGCAAUCAUCAUGCCUAUUACCGUAAUGGGGUGUUAAAUGAGGAUGGGGAUGGAGUGUACUACUCUGUGGAGGCGUCUAAAAACGAGUAUCUAGUGAAAUGUUCUGUUGUCAUUGAUGAAGAAUCUUUGAAGACGCUAUAUGGCGAAUUAUGGCCAGAUUUAACGACACUGGUAGCAUUUCUAAGUGAAAACCGACGGGGAGACCUCAAGUUAGUGAAGACGUUGUUGAAGAUUUAAGGAUGAGAAUGGAACAAAGUCCGAAUAAAGCUUUGUCAAAAAUCUUUACUGUCCGGAGUACCAUACAGCCCAUGUCAGAAAAUCGUAAAAGAGAAGUUACAUAUGCAUCCAUACAAGAUUUUGUUGGUUCAGGAGCUGCAACCAGCUGAUUUUCCUUGCCGCGUUGGGUAUUGUAGUUGGUUUCAAGCUGAUAUGGACGAUAACGGGAUUCUCGAUUUGUCGUUCUUUUCUGAUGAAGCCUGGUUUCAUCUGUUAGGCUAUUAUGUCAACUGACAGAACUUCAGAAUUUGGUGUAUAGAAAAUACUCACGCUUUUGAAGAAACACCAUCACACGCAAUGAAGGUUGGUGUGUGGUUAGCUGUUUCCAGACGACGAUUCAUAGGCCUGAUACUUUUUCAAGUAAAUGAAUGUGAUCUAUUGAUAAACAAAAUUAGAUGUAGAAAGUGUAUGUAGGUACUGCAAUAAAGUUUUUUAUUUUCAGUAA